This 461-nucleotide ribosomal RNA is filed under the name uncultured beta proteobacterium. RNAcentral describes it as "bacterial SSU rRNA". It matches the Rfam family "Bacterial small subunit ribosomal RNA", at positions 190 to 642 of the family's 1533-position model. The record is from RNAcentral. Lineage: Bacteria; Pseudomonadati; Pseudomonadota; Betaproteobacteria.
AGGAAAGUAGGGGAUCGCAAGACCUUGCGCUGAUGGAGCGGCCGAUAUCUGAUUAGCUAGUUGGUGAGGUAAAGGCUUACCAAGGCGACGAUCAGUAGCUGGUCUGAGAGGACGACCAGCCACACUGGGACUGAGACACGGCCCAGACUCCUACGGGAGGCAGCAGUGGGGAAUUUUGGACAAUGGGGGAAACCCUGAUCCAGCCAUGCCGCGUGAGUGAAGAAGGCCUUCGGGUUGUAAAGCUCUUUCAGCCGGGACGAAACGGUCACGGCUAAUACCUGUGAUCACUGACGGUACCGGAAGAAGAAGCACCGGCUAACUACGUGCCAGCAGCCGCGGUAAUACGUAGGGUGCAAGCGUUAAUCGGAAUUACUGGGCGUAAAGCGUGCGCAGGCGGUUUUGUAAGUCAGAUGUGAAAUCCCCGGGCUUAACCUGGGAACUGCGUUUGAAACUACAAGGCU